RNAcentral lists this long non-coding RNA (664 nucleotides) under Homo sapiens (human). RNAcentral's name for it is "non-protein coding lnc-ADARB2-9:1". The record is from RNAcentral. Lineage: Eukaryota; Metazoa; Chordata; Mammalia; Primates; Hominidae.
GGGGGCAGGGUGGAUGAGGUAAUACCAGGUUGCGACAGGUCCACACGACUAGCUCAGUCAACGAGACCACCUGCUCAAAUGCAAUCUGUGUGUAUGACACUGUGCGAUGUGCAGAAGGAACUUCCGUGACUUCGUGGGCCUUAAGGAAUGGAGCCAUCGGAGGAAACCAACCGAACAAAGUGCUUGAACAAUUCAUGUGACUAACAAAUGCACUCGUUGAAUAUUUCUUGCACUCAUGUAUUCAAAAAUAUUUAUAGAGUGGGCACCUUGGCCAUAUUUUUUUCUAAGUACUGAACUUAGCAAGGUAAGAGUCAUAUUUGACAUGGGCAGAAGAGUUUCCAGGGAAAAGAGGUGCCUGGCCGGAACAGUUUCAAGAGGAAAAUGGAGAAGAGAAACAAGAGAUGGGAAGAUGGCACAAAGUCUUUCAAGGAGUUUUGCUGUUAAGAAGGACAAAAGCCAUGGCAGUGCUGGAAGUAAACCAUUUAAAGGACAUUUGGACAUCCUUGUUUCUCCUGAUUCAUAGCACAGAAGCAGAAUGUGCUGUUCUCCAUAACCAUGGAGAAAAUUUAUUCCCCACUGACCUGCCCACUGAAAUCAUGUCCUCGACGCAGCUGCACGCGGUUAGAAUUGGAUCCUCCCACCUCCCCCAAGAACACCCAUCUCU